ACUCUUGACCUCGGAUCAGGUAGGGAUACCCGCUGAACUUAAG
RNAcentral lists this ribosomal RNA (43 nucleotides) under Phoma herbarum. RNAcentral's name for it is "partial 28S large subunit ribosomal RNA". Lineage: Eukaryota; Fungi; Ascomycota; Dothideomycetes; Pleosporales; Didymellaceae. The record is from RNAcentral.